Molecule: non-coding RNA, 1535 nt
Organism: Misgurnus anguillicaudatus (oriental weatherfish)
Lineage: Eukaryota; Metazoa; Chordata; Actinopteri; Cypriniformes; Cobitidae
Source: RefSeq, a predicted model, not a curated record
AAUUUUCUACCGAUUUUCAAACGGUUUGGGUUUUUACAAACUUUAUUAACGUGGCUAUAAUUCUGGAUGCUUUAACAUGUUUCAUGAAGUUAUUUUUUAUUUGUAGUAUAGGUAUGCAGUGUCAUAGGUACAUCCUUGACGUUUAUAACAAACCAAACCGUUUGAAAAUCGGUAAAAAAUUAAGCAAGUUAUGGUCAUUUAAAAGUACCUGCAUCAUUAAAACUCAAUGCUACGAGUGAGCGAGCGCCCUGUCGUAAGAUGGCCGCCAAAAUGCGGACGUUGCACUCAAUUGGCCAGCAGCGCGGACGAGCCAUCUAGCCUUUAUAUACAUAUCUAUGAUAUAAACAACAAACGCGAUGUGCCGGGAGCUCUGUGUGAUAUCAACACAGUGUGCUGUCAGUUGAAAGAUGGAAGUCCCCAGACUGAAGAAACGACCUUGGCGCUUCUGUGAACAUUGCAACACUGAACUGUGUCAUACACCACAGAAAGCGCUAUUUCAAAAAUGGAGUAUGGGAGAAAAAAUCCAAAAGGACUACGUCAGGUCAGAUAACGUACAGAGCCUGCUGCUAUCCAGUCAUGAACCCGCUGUGAGUGAUGUCCUGUCAUGUGUAAAGACCCGGAGGAUAACUUUACUGGAGUUAGAGAGAUUGGUGAAAGUGAAAUGCAAUCCGAGGACCCAGAAAAAAAGUGAUUGAAGAAUUUGAAGAAAUGCACCCAGCGAAUUGCAGUUAAGACAACGACGAAACAGCAGAUGACCAAAGCAUUCAUCUUUUCCUGGACGUCUCCUGUUGUGUGGAUGACUAUGUGGAUGAAGAGGGGGAAAUCCUUGCUGAGGAGCAGAGUGAAGCCUAUCCUCACAUACAAGAUGGGAAGGAGCAUGGAAGUGAUCAGUCCAGAAGUGAAAAAACAGAACACUUGUUGAUGAAACUUUUGGCCAUGAUGAAAUUGACUGGUAUCCUCCGUGACGACUUCUUACAGUAUGUGGUUUGUCCAAAAUGUAUGACAGUGUACAUGCUUACUGAAACCUAUGAGCGCAGACGGGAUGGUACAAAGGUUUGCAGGACUUGUGGUCACAUCCCGUUCUACAAUCACCCACAGCAGAGGUCUGCAUUAAGGAAGAAAUAUGGCUCUGCCUUGCUAAGAUAGGCUACAUAUUCGAGCGGUGAAGAGUAUGUCCAUCCAAUACGUUCUUACUGUUACAAGAGUGUUGUGCAGUCUCUGGGAGGACUUGUUAAAAGACUUGGAUUUGAAGAGAAAUUAGAUGAAAGGCGAAAGCGGGAACUGCCAAAGGGUGUGUUAGAUGUAAAUGAUGGACAAGUAUGGCAGGAUUACCAGUAUGUGAAUUCAAUAAACUGUAGUCAUGCCACUAUGCACAGUAUUUGAGCUGUGAUGUAAUUGCACAAGUUACCUUGCUUCAUUCCCAUCCGGACAGACAUUUUGUUGUUUGACAUGUUGUUUGAUGGUGUUUGCAUAGAAUGCACAAAUUGAGCCUGAUUAAAACUCUGUUAAAACAAUUAAAAUUGUUGAAAUAAAUA